This 406-nucleotide ribosomal RNA is filed under the name uncultured bacterium. RNAcentral describes it as "partial 16S ribosomal RNA". It matches the Rfam family "Bacterial small subunit ribosomal RNA", at positions 30 to 526 of the family's 1533-position model. The record is from RNAcentral.
AUCGAACGCUGGCGGCAGGCCUAACACAUGCAAGUCGAACGAGUGGCGGACGGGUGAGUAAUGUCUGUGCAACCUCCUGUUGGAGGGGGUUCACUAUUGGAAACGGUAGCUAAUACCGCAUACCCUCCGCUGUGCCCAGAUGGCGUUAGCUAGUUGGGGGGGUAUAGGCUUACCAAGGGGACGAUCCCUCCCUGGUCUGAGAGGAUGACCAGCCACACUGGAACUGAGACACGGUCCAGACUCCUACGGGAGGCAGCAGUGGGGAAUAUUGGAAAAUGGGCGAAAGCCUGAUGCAGCCAUGCCGCGUGUAUAAAGAAGAUCUUCGGGUUGUAAAGUACUUUCAGCGGGGAGGCGUUACACGCAGAAGAAGCACCGGCUAACUCCGUGCCAGCAGCCGCGGUAAUAC